Pelodiscus sinensis (Chinese soft-shelled turtle) is the source of this 439-nucleotide long non-coding RNA. RefSeq lists it as uncharacterized. NCBI's taxonomy places the organism in Eukaryota, Metazoa, Chordata, Testudines, Trionychidae. The record is from RefSeq and is a predicted model, not a curated record.
AUAGACAGUGUUGCAGUCUCACGUCGAUCUCAACGUCUUUUCUCUGUAGGCGCAUUGAGCUCCCAGCCAACCUUCAGCUAUGAAGAUCCUGUACCUUCUUUUUGCUCUCUUCUUCUUGGUGAUGCAAGUUAGUGGGCAAGGAUUUGGGUGUCCUCCUGGUUGUAGAAGACUAUGUAUUAGGAUGAGAGGCAGUUGCCUUCGUCGUUGUCCUUUCAAUAUGACUCCCCUGUUUUCCUGCGGCAUGUAUAAAUGCUGUCAUCGCUGGGGUACAUGGAAGUGAUGACAACAAAGAUUCUCAAGACAUCAUCUCCGGGAAGCUGGAAGAAAAUGUCUUGCAGUGAAAAUCUUGAAGAAAAUCCAGAAAGAGGCUCUCUAACCUGCAUUAUGACCUCUGUGUUACUGGAAUAAAAGCAACUGGUUUUGCUGGUGUAUUGCAAAA